This 429-nucleotide ribosomal RNA is filed under the name Bacteroidota bacterium. RNAcentral describes it as "Bacteroidetes bacterium partial 16S ribosomal RNA". It matches the Rfam family "Bacterial small subunit ribosomal RNA", at positions 355 to 776 of the family's 1533-position model. The record is from RNAcentral. Lineage: Bacteria; Pseudomonadati; Bacteroidota.
UAGGGAAUCUUCGGCAAUGGGGGGAACCCUGACCGAGCAACGCCGCGUGAGUGAAGAAGGUUUUCGGAUCGUAAAGCUCUGUUGUUAAGGAAGAACGAGUGUGAGAAUGGAAAGUUCAUGCUGUGACGGUACUUAACCAGAAAGGGACGGCUAACUACGUGCCAGCAGCCGCGGUAAUACGUAGGUCCCGAGCGUUGUCCGGAUUUAUUGGGCGUAAAGCGAGCGCAGGCGGUUAGAAAAGUCUGAAGUGAAAGGCAGUGGCUCAACCAUUGUAGGCUUUGGAAACUGUUUAACUUGAGUGCAGAAGGGGAGAGUGGAAUUCCAUGUGUAGCGGUGAAAUGCGUAGACAUAUGGAGGAACACCGGUGGCGAAAGCGGCUCUCUGGUCUAUAACUGACGCUGAGGCUAGAAAGCGUGGGGAGCGAACAGG